GUCAUAUUUAUAUUAUAUGAUGUGACAUUGUGACAUAUGACAGAGUGCCCAGAAAGUCAUUAUGCCUCAAGAGCUUAUAACCUACAAGGAAUUUAAAGGCGUAUUAUUCAGCCAUGCCCACCCACACCCUGCUAUUAUCUACAACAGCAGGGGACUCACUAGAUGAAUCAGAUGCUAGAGAUUCUUUCCAUGUGCACAGGAAACACUGAUUAAUUGGAGCAGUGACAAAAAAGUCUCUUUACCAGGUCAGCACGUGUGGAGGAAUAGCAUACCAUAAGUAACUUGGAGGUGAAGAUUAAUGGUCAGACAGUGGUGUGAAAAUGAUAAGAUCAUCUGGAGAACCAAUCCAAGCACACAGUCUCCAAGACAGGAGACACAGAAGGAGCCUUCCUGGUGCUUCAAACACAGAUUUCUGUUGCAAGACAUUAUUGCAAGAGCAAAUCCAAAAGAAACUGAACUGAAACCCACAGGAUAACCCAGCUUAAAUGACUGGAAAUAUAAAUAAAUUCCUAGUAGCCUAUUACA
RNAcentral lists this long non-coding RNA (525 nucleotides) under Cyanistes caeruleus (blue tit). RNAcentral's name for it is "lncRNA (ENSCCEG00000016192.1)". The record is from RNAcentral. Lineage: Eukaryota; Metazoa; Chordata; Aves; Passeriformes; Paridae.